AACGAACGCUGGCGGCAGGCCUAACACAUGCAAGUCGAGCGAGGACUUCGGUUCUAGCGGCGGACGGGUGAGUAACGCGUGGGAAUGUGCCCUUCUCUACGGAAUAGCCCUGGGAAACUGGGAGUAAUACCGUAUACGCCCUAUUGGGGAAAGAUUUAUCGGAGAAGGAUCAGCCCGCGUUGGAUUAGGUAGUUGGUGGGGUAAUGGCCUACCAAGCCGACGAUCCAUAGCUGGUUUGAGAGGAUGAUCAGCCACACUGGGACUGAGACACGGCCCAGACUCCUGCGGGAGGCAGCAAUGGUGAAUCUUAGACGAUGGGGGCAACCCUGAUCUAGCCAUGCCGCGUGAGUGAUGAAGGCCUUAGGGUUGUAAAGCUCUUUCAGCUGGGAAGAUAAUGACGGUACCAGCAGAAGAAGCCCCGGCUAACUCCGUG
Molecule: ribosomal RNA, 433 nt
Filed under: uncultured bacterium
Lineage: Bacteria
Description: partial 16S ribosomal RNA
Rfam family: Bacterial small subunit ribosomal RNA
Source: RNAcentral